UGAUCCUGACCCCUCCAUUGACUACUUAUAUUUCUUUAAAGGUUUCACGAAGUAUUCAAAGUACUUGCUGAAAGUGAUGAGGGGAAACUCCAUGUCCUGAGAGUUGUAUACGAGGUUUGGAAGAAUCAUCCACAGAUGAUUGCUGUUCUUGUGGAUAAGAUGAUUCGAACACAGAUUGUUGAUUGUGCUGCAGUAGCAAACUGGAUCUUCUCUUCAGAACUUGCACAUGAUUUUACUAGGUUCUAUGUCUGGGAAAUCUUACAUUCCACAAUUCGUAAAAUGAACAAGCAUGUACUGAAGAUUCACAAAGAACUGGAGGAGACUAAGGCAAGAUUGGCAAGACAGCACAAAAGAGUGCUGCUGGAUUCGGACAGUUGCAUCUGCCUUUUGCUUCUCUUGGAUUUUAUUUUCGAAUGUCCUUGUAUGACCUAGACUACUGUUUACAGUGAGAUGACUAUCAAAUAUUUUUAGACACAUUGAGUGGACUCUUAAGUCCUA
Molecule: long non-coding RNA, 498 nt
Organism: Harpia harpyja (harpy eagle)
Lineage: Eukaryota; Metazoa; Chordata; Aves; Accipitriformes; Accipitridae
Exons: 4
Source: RefSeq, a predicted model, not a curated record